UACGAAGGGGGCUAGCGUUGUUCGGAAUUACUGGGCGUAAAGCGCACGUAGGCGGAUAUUUAAGUCAGGGGUGAAAUCCCAGAGCUCAACUCUGGAGCUGCCUUUGAUACUGGGUAUCUUGAGUAUGGAAGAGGUGAGUGGAAUUCCGAGUGUAGAGGUGAAAUUCGUAGAUAUUCGGAGGAACACCAGUGGCGAAGGCGGCUCACUGGUCCAUUACUGACGCUGAGGUGCGAAAGCGUGGAGAGCAAACAGG
RNAcentral lists this ribosomal RNA (253 nucleotides) under uncultured bacterium. RNAcentral describes it as "partial 16S ribosomal RNA". It matches the Rfam family "Bacterial small subunit ribosomal RNA", at positions 524 to 776 of the family's 1533-position model. The record is from RNAcentral.